UAUUCUGCCCUACAGGGAAGGAUGAGAAGCUUCGACUAAGGUUCGACUCGAGCGAAGCGAGAGAACGUUGCCGCAGGCAACGGCCCGAAGGGCGAGGCGCUUUAGCGCCGAGUAAUCCUU
This 120-nucleotide small RNA is filed under the name Klebsiella pneumoniae. RNAcentral describes it as "RtT sRNA". It matches the Rfam family "RtT RNA". Rfam says of the family: This family represents a bacterial cis-regulatory element known as RtT RNA. The exact function of RtT is unknown although it is thought that it may be involved in changing the cellular response in relation to amino acid starvation. Lineage: Bacteria; Pseudomonadati; Pseudomonadota; Gammaproteobacteria; Enterobacterales; Enterobacteriaceae. The record is from RNAcentral.